Molecule: unclassified non-coding RNA, 343 nt
Filed under: soil metagenome
Description: partial contains 5.8S ribosomal RNA, internal transcribed spacer 2, and large subunit ribosomal RNA
Rfam family: 5.8S ribosomal RNA (bases 1-120)
Source: RNAcentral
GAUGAAGAACGCAGCGAAAUGCGAUAAGUGAUGUGAAUUGCAGAAUUCAGUGAAUCAUCGAAUCUUUGAACGCACAUUGCGCCCGCUAGUAUUCUGGCGGGCAUGCCUGUCCGAGCGUCAUUUCAACCCUCAAGCCCCCGGGCUUGGUGUUGGGGAUCGGCGAGCCUCCGCGCCCGCCGUCCCCUAAAUCUAGUGGCGGUCUCGCUGUAGCUUCCUCUGCGUAGUAGCACACCUCGCACUGGGAAACAGCGCGGCCACGCCGUUAAACCCCCAACUUCUGAACGUUUGACCUCGGAUCAGGUAGGAAUACCCGCUGAACUUAAGCAUAUCAAUAAGCGGAGGA